GGAUAGCGGAGAAAUUCCAAUCGAACUCGGAGAUAGCUGGUUCUCCCCGAAAUAGGUUUAGGCCUAGCCUUGAAGAAUUUCCUCUGGAGGUAGAGCACUGAAUGUGGAAUGGCCGCGUCUAGCGGUACUGACUGCAAUCAACCUCCGAAUGCCAGAGUAGUUAGCUUCAGGAGUCAGUUUAUGGGUGAUAACGUCCAUAUGCGAGAGAAAAACAAUUCAGACCACCAGUUAAGGUCCCAAAAUAUAUGUUAAGUGGGAAAGGAUGUGGAGUUGCACGAACAGCUAGGAGGUUGGCUCAGAAGCAGCCAUCCUUUAAAGAGUGCGUAAUAGCUCACUAGUCGAGUGGCUCUGCGCCGAAAAUGUACCGGGGCUAAACAUAUUACCGAAACUGUGGAUUUAUGCGAUAGCAUAAGUGGUAGGGGAGCGUUCUAAGGGCGAUGAAGAUAGAUCGAGAGGACUAUUGGAGCGCUUAGAAGUGAGAAUGCCGGUGUGAGUAACGUAAGGUAGGUGAGAAUCCUACCCACUGAUUGACCAAGGAUUCCAGGGUCAAGUUCGUCUACCCUGGGUAAGUCAGGACCUAAGGCGAGGCUGAGAAGCGUAGUCGAUGGACAACAGGUUGAUAUUCCUGUACCACCGAAAGUCGUUUGAGCGAAGUGGGGACACAGAAGGAUAGACUGAGCACGCCGCUGGUAGAGCGUGUCCAAGCGUCAAGGGAGAUAACGUAGGCAAAUCCGCGAUAUCAAUUCUGAGGCGUUACGGGGAGGCAAAAGAGCCGGAAGCAGUUGAUUUCACGCUGUCAAGAAAAGCCGCUAGCGAGACCCAAGGUGCCCGUACCGCAAACCGACACAGGUAGAUGAGGAGAGAAUCCUAAGGUGAGCGAGAGAACUAUUGUUAAGGAACUCGGCAAAAUAACCCCGUAACUUCGGGAGAAGGGGUGCCUGCUUCGGCAGGCCGCAGUGAAAAGGCCCAGGCAACUGUUUACCAAAAACACAGGUCUCUGCAAAAGCGAAAGCUGAAGUAUAGGGGCUGACGCCUGCCCGGUGCUGGAAGGUUAAGGGGAAGUGUCAUCGCAAGAGAAGCACAGAACUUAAGCCCCAGUAAACGGCGGCCGUAACUAUAACGGUCCUAAGGUAGCGAAAUUCCUUGUCGGGUAAGUUCCGACCCGCACGAAAGGCGUAAUGAUCUGGACACUGUCUCAACAAUAGGCUCGGUGAAAUUGUAGUACCGGUAAAGAUGCCGGUUACCCGCAGCAGGACGGAAAGACCCCGUGGAGCUUUACUGUAGCUUGAUAUUGAGUUUCGGCGUUGCAUGUACAGGAUAGGUGGGAGACAGAGAAAUUAGUACGCCAGUAUUAGUGGAGUCACCGUUGGGAUACCACCCUUGUAACGUUGAAGUUCUAACCAUGUGCCGUGAUCCGGCACUGGGACAGUGUCAGGCGGGCAGUUUGACUGGGGCGGUCGCCUCCUAAAGAGUAACGGAGGCGCCCAAAGGUUCCCUCAGCGCGGACGGAAAUCGCGCGAAGAGUGCAAAGGCAGAAGGGAGCUUGACUGCGAGACCCACAAGUCGAGCAGGGACGAAAGUCGGGCUUAGUGAUCCGGCGGUGCUGAAUGGAAAGGCCGUCGCUCAACGGAUAAAAGCUACCCUGGGGAUAACAGGCUGAUCUCCCCCAA
This 1670-nucleotide ribosomal RNA is filed under the name human gut metagenome. Its description in RNAcentral is "bacterial LSU rRNA". It matches the Rfam family "Bacterial large subunit ribosomal RNA", at positions 813 to 2495 of the family's 2925-position model. The record is from RNAcentral.